GGCAAUGAUGCAUAGCCGAGUUGAGAGACUGAUCGGCCACAUUGGGACUGAGACACGGCCCAAACUCCUACGGGAGGCAGCAGUAGGGAAUCUUCCACAAUGGACGAAAGUCUGAUGGAGCAACGCCGCGUGAGUGAAGAAGGGUUUCGGCUCGUAAAGCUCUGUUGGUAGUGAAGAAAGAUAGAGGUAGUAACUGGCCUUUAUUUGACGGUAAUUACUUAGAAAGUCACGGCUAACUACGUGCCAGCAGCCGCGGUAAUACGUAGGUGGCAAGCGUUGUCCGGAUUUAUUGGGCGUAAAGCGAGUGCAGGCGGUUCAAUAAGUCUGAUGUGAAAGCCUUCGGCUCAACCGGAGAAUUGCAUCAGAAACUGUUGAACUUGAGUGCAGAAGAGGAGAGUGGAACUCCAUGUGUAGCGGUGGAAUGCGUAGAUAUAUGGAAGAACACCAGUGGCGAAGGCGGCUCUCUGGUCUGCAACUGACGCUGAGGCUCGAAAGCAUGGGUAGCGAACAGGAUUAGAUACCCUGGUAGU
Molecule: ribosomal RNA, 530 nt
Filed under: uncultured bacterium
Lineage: Bacteria
Description: bacterial SSU rRNA
Rfam family: Bacterial small subunit ribosomal RNA
Source: RNAcentral